AGUGAACGCUGGCGGCGUGCUUAACACAUGCAAGUCGAACGAGAACGGAUUAUAGCUUGCUAUAAUUGUCAGCUAAGUGGCGCACGGGUGAGUAAUGUAUAGGUAAUAUGCCUCUUACUAAGGGAUAACAAAUGGAAACGUUUGCUAAUACCUUAUACUCCUUAUUAACAUAAGUUAAUAAGGGAAAGAUUUAUUGGUAAGAGAUUAGCCUGUAUUGUAUCAGUUAGUUGGUGGGGUAAUGGCUUACCAAGACUAUGACACAUAACUGGUUUGAGAGGAUGAUCAGUCACACUGGAACUGAGACAUGGUCCAGACUCCUACGGGAGGCAGCAGUGGGGAAUAUUGCACAAUGGACGAAAGUCUGAUGCAGCAACGCCGCGUGGAGGAUGACACAUUUCGGUGCGUAAACUCCUUUAUAUGAGAAGAUAAUGACGGUAUUAUAUGAAUAAGCACCGGCUAACUCCGUGCCAGCAGCCGCCGUAA
Molecule: ribosomal RNA, 483 nt
Filed under: uncultured bacterium
Lineage: Bacteria
Description: partial 16S ribosomal RNA
Rfam family: Bacterial small subunit ribosomal RNA
Source: RNAcentral